UACGAGGGGGGCGAGCGUUGUUCGGAAUUAUUGGGCGUAAAGGGUGCGUAGGUGGUCUGGUAAGUCGGAUGUGAAAUCCCGGAGCUUAACUUCGGAACUGCAUUCGAUACUGCCGGACUGGAGUACUGGAGAGGAGAUACGGAAUUUACGGUGUAGCGGUGAAAUGCGUAGAUACCGUAAGGAAGACCAGUGGCGAAGGCGGGUCUCUGGACAGUUCCUGACGCUGAGGCA
Molecule: ribosomal RNA, 231 nt
Filed under: uncultured bacterium
Lineage: Bacteria
Description: partial 16S ribosomal RNA
Rfam family: Bacterial small subunit ribosomal RNA
Source: RNAcentral